This 301-nucleotide ribosomal RNA is filed under the name uncultured bacterium. RNAcentral describes it as "partial 16S ribosomal RNA". It matches the Rfam family "Bacterial small subunit ribosomal RNA", at positions 509 to 808 of the family's 1533-position model. The record is from RNAcentral.
CAGUCGCCGGCGGUAAUACGGAGGGAGCUAGCGUUGUUCGGAAUUACUGGGCGUAAAGCGCACGUAGGCGGCUUUGUAAGUUAGAGGUGAAAGCCUGGAGCUCAACUCCAGAAUUGCCUUUAAGACUGCAUCGCUUGAAUCCAGGAGAGGUGAGUGGAAUUCCGAGUGUAGAGGUGAAAUUCGUAGAUAUUCGGAAGAACACCAGUGGCGAAGGCGGCUCACUGGACUGGUAUUGACGCUGAGGUGCGAAAGCGUGGGGAGCAAACAGGAUUAGAUACCCCUGUAGUCCCUGUCUCUUAUA